GAAACUGUGAAAUUAACCCCCGUCCCACCCCUGAGUUAAUGGAAUGGAACUGGAAGCUCAGCGAAGCAGAAAGCCAGUGUCAUCAAUUUGCUUUCCAGUUACUCUCUGAGAACACAGCAGCGUCAGGAUUUCAGUCAUUGCGAACUCUCUGAAGUGCAGACACAAUGGAAUAACUGGUUCCUGCUUCGGGUCAAUAGCAGCUUCACAUUCCCUCCUUAUAAGCUGGCAGUGUACAAGAGACAAGGUGGGUGAGGUAAUAUCUUGUAUUGGAUCAACUUCUAUUGGGGAAAGAGACACACUUCUGAGAUACACAGAGCUCUUCUUCAGGAUAGUGUAUCAAACUUCUGGGCCAGAAACAACAGUGCUCUAGGGUCAAGUUGACCAGAUGUCCCCUCCCCCAUUUAAAAACUGGCGUGGGGUCAGAGUUUGCCCAUUUGCUCCUGGGUUAGAAUAUAUCAGCACUGCUGCGAUGUUACUCCAGAAGCCUUACAACAUGUCUUGAGCAGCUGCCUGGAGCCACGCAGAAACCCCAGAUCUCCUCACCAUCUGGAGACAAGCAUCAGUGCAGCACCGCACUAAAGAUCUUUUUGUGGACCUUGAUAAGCAGCUGUCUGCAUGUGAGGGGCUACAACUGCAACGCCGACCAGUUCCAGAUAAAGAGCAGACAGCUCAGAAGGAUUUACAUUAAAACCAGGGACGCCAGGAAACAGUGCAGUCAUGCACCUAUAACCUGUCCAUUUUUGGAGGAGCUGGAUAGGAUUUUGAUUAAAGACACUGUUACCGACACCCAUCCCUCCCACACAAGGAGGCCAGUGAAGAGCUUUCUCCAGAAAGCCAGGAUCUCUUUCCCCCAAUUCCAGCCAUGUAGGAAGCGAGCCCGAUUCCCAGCCAGAAACCCAGGCCAGGACUGAGGAGGCAAAUCCUAUGGAGGGAAGCUGGACAUGCAUUCUGCAGUCAUUAUCCUAAUAGAGCACCAGCCUCCUGAAACUUUAAAGGACAAGUUUGCUGUCAGCAGCUGCACAAUCUUGGAGGAGAGACGAAGACCUAAGGCAUGUCUGCCCAGUAAGAUAUAUAACCUACUGUGACUGAGCCUGGGGCAUGCUGCCACCCAUAUAGCCAUCACCAACUAACCCAGGAGCUGUCGUAUUACUUAAUAAGAGAUAUAACUGUACUGCUCAGAGCUUCUAUAGACCUUUUCAUCCUCAAAACCCUUUACAAGCCCACAGUCAGUCCUCAGCCCUCUGAGGUGUGAAAAAUCCAAAGCGUAGUGACACAAUACUAACAAUGAGCUAGAAAUGAAGGGUCAUUAAACCUUGGUAGUAUUCUAUUCAAAUAGAAGCCUCCUUGGACAAAGACGGCAGCAUACCAAGAAAGCCAGUCCACCCAGAUCCAUUCCUGACAGCACUUCCCUGGGACCUCCACACGCCUCGGAUGGGGACAGUCCGGAGUGGGCAGGCGGACAUCCUCG
This is a long non-coding RNA of Malaclemys terrapin pileata, 1468 nucleotides long. RefSeq lists it as uncharacterized. NCBI's taxonomy places the organism in Eukaryota, Metazoa, Chordata, Testudines, Emydidae. The record is from RefSeq and is a predicted model, not a curated record. The transcript has 6 exons.